CGCGAUCGAUCAGAGUUUGAUCCUGGCUCAGGAUGAACGACUGACAGAAUGCUUAACACAUGCAAGUCGACUCGAGUCUUCGGACUUGGGUGGCGCACGGGUGAGUAACGCGUGUGCAACUUGCCUCUUAGUGGGGAAUAACCCGGAGAAAUCCGGACUAAUACCGCAUACACUUAGUUAUCCGCAUGGAUGAUUAAGGAAAGAUUUAUUGCUAAGAGAUAGGCAUGCGUUCCAUUAGUUAGUUGGUGAGGUAACGGCUCACCAAGGCAUCGAUGGAUAGGGGAGCUGAGAGGCUUAUCCCCCACAUUGGGACUGAGACACGGCCCAA
This 328-nucleotide ribosomal RNA is filed under the name uncultured bacterium. RNAcentral's name for it is "bacterial SSU rRNA". It matches the Rfam family "Bacterial small subunit ribosomal RNA", at positions 1 to 334 of the family's 1533-position model. The record is from RNAcentral.